UAGCUCAGCUGGGAGAGCACCUCCCUUACAAGGAGGGGGUCGGCGGUUCGAUCCCGUCN
RNAcentral lists this transfer RNA (59 nucleotides) under Salmonella enterica subsp. enterica serovar Enteritidis str. EC20130348. RNAcentral's name for it is "tRNA-Val (TAC) (tRNA-Val-TAC-2-1)". It matches the Rfam family "tRNA", at positions 8 to 63 of the family's 71-position model. From Rfam's summary of the family: Transfer RNA (tRNA) molecules are approximately 80 nucleotides in length. Their secondary structure includes four short double-helical elements and three loops (D, anti-codon, and T loops). Lineage: Bacteria; Pseudomonadati; Pseudomonadota; Gammaproteobacteria; Enterobacterales; Enterobacteriaceae. The record is from RNAcentral.